GUGCUCACCUUGGCUGCACAUACACUAAGAUUGGAAAAAUACAGAGAAGAUUGGCAUACACUAAAAUUGAAACAAUACAGAGAUUAGCAUGGCCCCUGUGCAAGGGUAGCAUGCAAAUUUGUGAAGUGUUCCAUAUUUAA
Molecule: small nuclear RNA, 140 nt
Filed under: Catagonus wagneri (Chacoan peccary)
Lineage: Eukaryota; Metazoa; Chordata; Mammalia; Artiodactyla; Tayassuidae
Source: RNAcentral